Molecule: ribosomal RNA, 400 nt
Filed under: uncultured Anaerotruncus sp.
Lineage: Bacteria; Bacillati; Bacillota; Clostridia; Eubacteriales; Oscillospiraceae
Description: bacterial SSU rRNA
Rfam family: Bacterial small subunit ribosomal RNA
Source: RNAcentral
GUGGGGGAUAUUGCACAAUGGGGGAAACCCUGAUGCAGCGACGCCGCGUGUGGGAAGACGGUCCUCUGGAUUGUAAACCACUGUCCCCAGGGACGAAUCUGACGGUACCUGGGGAGGAAGCUCCGGCUAACUACGUGCCAGCAGCCGCGGUAAUACGUAGGGAGCGAGCGUUGUCCGGAAUUACUGGGUGUAAAGGGAGCGUAGGCGGGAUGGCAAGUUGGGUGUUAAAUCUACCGGCUCAACUGGUAGUCGCACUCAAAACUGCCGUUCUUGAGUGAAGUAGAGGCAGGCGGAAUUCCUAGUGUAGCGGUGAAAUGCGUAGAUAUUAGGAGGAACACCAGUGGCGAAGGCGGCCUGCUGGGCUUUUACUGACGCUGAGGCUCGAAAGUGUGGGGAGCAA